Molecule: unclassified non-coding RNA, 451 nt
Filed under: Hevea brasiliensis (rubber tree)
Lineage: Eukaryota; Viridiplantae; Streptophyta; Magnoliopsida; Malpighiales; Euphorbiaceae
Source: RNAcentral
CAAAAGGUUACCUUCUCGUUCAUACAAAUGGUGGGCUUAACCAGAUGCGAGCUGGGAUUUGUGAUAUGGUAGUUGUUGCCCGAAUAAUAAAUGCCACUCUUGUUGUUCCUGAAUUGGACAAAAGGUCAUUUUGGCAAGACACCAGCAACUUUUCGGAUGUUUUUGAUGAAGAUCAUUUUAUCAAUGCUCUAGCCAGUGAUGUAAAAGUCAUAAAAAGGCUGCCUAAGGAAAUGUCUAGUGUUUCUAAAAUAGUUAAGCAUUUUAGAAGCUGGUCUGGUAUGGACUACUACGAAGGGGAGAUAGCAAGCAUGUGGGAAGAUUAUCAGGUUAUUCGAGCUGCUAAGUCUGACUCUCGCCUGGCAAACAACAAUCUCCCUCCAGAUAUUCAGAAGCUGCGUUGCCGUGCUUGUUAUCAAGCCCUCCGUUUUGCACCUCGAAUUGAAGAGAUGGG